Molecule: ribosomal RNA, 435 nt
Filed under: uncultured bacterium
Lineage: Bacteria
Description: partial 16S ribosomal RNA
Rfam family: Bacterial small subunit ribosomal RNA
Source: RNAcentral
AACGAACGCUGGCGGCAGGCCUAACACAUGCAAGUCGAGCGGACAUCUUCGGAUGUUAGCGGCGGACGGGUGAGUAACGCGGGGGAACGAGCCCUUUGCUUCGGUAUAGCCUCGGGAAACUGGGAGUAAUAACGGAUGUACUCAUUGGGGGUAAGAUUUAUCGGCAAAGGAUCGGCACGCGUUGGAUUAUGUUGCUGGUGUGGUAAGGGCCUACCAAGCCGACGUUCCAUAGCUGGUAUGAGAGGAUGAGCAGCCACACUGGGGCUGAGACACGGCCCAGACUCCUACGGGAGGCAGCAGUGCGUAAGCUUAGACAAUGGCGUGAGCCCUGAUCGAGCCAUGCCGGUUGAGCGAUGAAGGCCUUAGGGUUGUAAAGCUCAAUCACCGGUGAAGAUAAUGACGGUACCCGGUGAGGAAGCCCCGGCUAACUCCGUG